UACAGAGGUCUCAAGCGUUGUUCGGAUUCAUUGGGCGUAAAGGGUGCGUAGGUGGCGCUGUAAGUCGGGUGUGAAAUUUCGGAGCUUAACUCCGAAACUGCAUUCGAUACUGCGGUGCUUGAGGACUGGAGAGGAGACUGGAAUUCAUGGUGUAGCAGUGAAAUGCGUAGAGAUCAUGAGGAAGACCAGUGGCGAAGGCGGGACUCUGGACAGUUCCUGACACUGAGGCACGAAGGCCAGGGGAGCAAACGGG
RNAcentral lists this ribosomal RNA (253 nucleotides) under uncultured bacterium. RNAcentral's name for it is "partial 16S ribosomal RNA". It matches the Rfam family "Bacterial small subunit ribosomal RNA", at positions 524 to 776 of the family's 1533-position model. The record is from RNAcentral.